GACGAACGCUGGCGGCGAUGCUUAACACAUGCAAGUCGAACGGACUGAGUUCCCUUCGGGGAUGAAAGUUAGUGGCGAACGGGUGAGUAAUGUAUGAGCAACCUGCCUCUGUCAACGGGAUAACAGUUGGAAACGACUGAUAAUACGGUAUAUGACCACGGCACCGCAUGGUGCUGCGGUAAAAGAUUUUAUCGGACAGAGAUGGGCUCAUAUCCCAUUAGGUAGUUGGUGAGAUAACAGCCCACCAAGGCGACGAUCGGUAGCCGGACUGAGAGGUUGAACGGCCACAUUGGGACUGAGACACGGCCCAG
RNAcentral lists this ribosomal RNA (311 nucleotides) under uncultured bacterium. RNAcentral describes it as "bacterial SSU rRNA". It matches the Rfam family "Bacterial small subunit ribosomal RNA", at positions 28 to 334 of the family's 1533-position model. The record is from RNAcentral.